ACGAACGCUGGCGGCGUGCUUAACACAUGCAAGUCGAACGGAAAGGCCUGCUUUCCCUUGUGGAUUGCGGGUACUCGAGUGGCGAACGGGUGAGUAACACGUGAGUGAUCUGCCCCCAACUUGGGUAUAAGCCUGGGAAACUGGGUCUAAUUCCCGAUAGGACUGCAGGGUGGUGCCUGUGGUGGAAAACGAUUUUCUAGUGGUUGGGGAUGAGCUCGCGGCCUAUCAGCUUGUUGGUGGGGUAAUGGCCUACCAAGGCGGCGACGGGUAGCCGGCCUGAGAGGGUGGACGGCCACAUUGGGACUGAGAUACGGCCCAGACGCCUACGGGAGGCAGCAGUGGGGAAUAUUGCACAAUGGGCGGAAGCCUGAUGCAGCGACGCCGCGUGGGGGAUGACGGCCUUCGGGUUGUAAACUCCUUUCGACCGCGAGGAAGCCACCUGGUUGGAAGGGUGGUGACGGUAGUGGUAGAAGAAGCACCGGCUAACUACGUG
RNAcentral lists this ribosomal RNA (493 nucleotides) under uncultured bacterium. RNAcentral's name for it is "partial 16S ribosomal RNA". It matches the Rfam family "Bacterial small subunit ribosomal RNA", at positions 29 to 507 of the family's 1533-position model. The record is from RNAcentral.